Molecule: non-coding RNA, 766 nt
Organism: Chrysemys picta bellii (western painted turtle)
Lineage: Eukaryota; Metazoa; Chordata; Testudines; Emydidae
Source: RefSeq, a predicted model, not a curated record
AGGAAAGCCAUCUGCACAACUUCCCAGAGCUCAGGCUGCUCUUGAAAUUCCAGGAGAUGAAUGUUCCCCGUACGCAGUGAGCAGCAGCAAAGACUUGCAAAGAAAUGAAGUGUUGUAUUCACUUGCAACGAGCCCAUAUGAGGACCCAAAUGCAGCCUAUUGUACAGUGGAUAACACUGCAGCAUCUGGCAAGGGGCCAGGAGAUGAAAUACAGACAGUCUAUGCAGUGGUGUCACAAUAGCUGUUCCUAGGAGCUGGAGAAUGGACGUCGGUUUCAAAAUGACUAUGACCUUUUGGCUGAUUUUAGGGGACAAAACUCAGCAUAGUAGCCUUGACUACCCAUUUUGACUAUUCAAUAAGCUAUCUUAGAAAAUAUUAUGGGGCAGAUCCUCUGCUGAUAUAAAUUCUCAUAGCUCCAUUAUGAAGCUAUGACCAUUUGCACCAGAGAAACAUAGGAAUUGUCACACUCAGACCAUUGGUUCAUUUAGUUCAGAAUCCUGUCUCCAGCAGUGGCCUUUAUCAGAUGUGUCAGAAGUAGAUGCAAGAAUCCCCAUAUUGGACAAUUAUGGGACAACUCGCUCACAGGAGAAGUUUCUUCUCAACACCUAUCAGCUAGAGAUUGGUUAUCCCCUGAAGCGAGAGGGUUUUAUAGCCCUCAUACAUCUUAUCCUAUCUAAUGUAACAUCAUCCUUAGGCCAGUGUUUCCCAAACUUGGGACGCUGCUUGUGUAGGGAAAGUCCCUGGCGGACCGGGCCAGUUUGUUUCC